This 233-nucleotide ribosomal RNA is filed under the name uncultured bacterium. RNAcentral describes it as "partial 16S ribosomal RNA". The record is from RNAcentral.
UAAUCCGACCUAGGCUCAUCUGAUAGCGCAAGGCCCGAAGGUCCCCUGCUUUCUCCCGUAGGACGUAUGCGGUAUUAGCGUCCCUUUCGAGACGUUGUCCCCCACUACCAGGCAGAUUCCUAGGCAUUACUCACCCGUCCGCCGCUGAAUCGAAGAGCAAGCUCCUCUCAUCCGCUCGACUUGCAUGUGUUAGGCCUGCCGCCAGCGUUCAAUCUGAGCCAGGAUCAAACUCU